This 659-nucleotide ribosomal RNA is filed under the name Umbelopsis ramanniana. Its description in RNAcentral is "eukaryotic LSU rRNA". It matches the Rfam family "Eukaryotic large subunit ribosomal RNA", at positions 66 to 647 of the family's 3401-position model. Lineage: Eukaryota; Fungi; Mucoromycota; Umbelopsidomycetes; Umbelopsidales; Umbelopsidaceae. The record is from RNAcentral.
UAACAAGGAUUCCCUCAGUAACGGCGAGUGAAGCGGGAAGAGCUCAAAUUUAAAAUCUGGUUUGCUUGCAAGCCCGAGUUGUAGUCUGAAGAAACGUUUUCCAUAAGCACUGAGGCAAAAGUCCCUUGGAACAGGGCAUCAUAGAGGGUGAGAAUCCCGUCCAUGGUCUCAAGUCGUUUAUUUUGUGAUACGUUUUCAAAGAGUCAGGUUGUUUGGGAAUGCAGCCUAAAAUGGGUGGUAAAUUUCAUCUAAAGCUAAAUAUUGGCGAGAGACCGAUAGCGAACAAGUACCGUGAGGGAAAGAUGAAAAGAACUUUGAAAAGAGAGUUAAAAAGUACGUGAAAUUGUUGAAAGGGAACCGUUUGAAGCCAGUCUUACUUGCCUGUGAUCAAUUUUUGCYUCGGCAUGAAUGCACUCUCGGGUAUGGUAGGCCAACGACAGUUUGGAAUGCGAGAAAAAAAUAGGGGAAAUGUGGCCUUCGGGUGUUAUAGUCCCUUAUAAAAUAUCGUGUUCUGGACUGAGGAUCGCAGCAAAAAUGUGGGCAGGUGGAUUUCUGUGGUAACUGUCGGUUAGGACAACUUGUUGACCUAGUCUUCCUUAGCCUCACUAUUUACCUCGCUUCUAAUUUGCUUAGGUCGUUGGCAUAAUGGCUUUAAAUGA